RNAcentral lists this long non-coding RNA (327 nucleotides) under Daucus carota (carrot). Its description in RNAcentral is "long non-coding RNA (DCAR_LNC001364)". Lineage: Eukaryota; Viridiplantae; Streptophyta; Magnoliopsida; Apiales; Apiaceae. The record is from RNAcentral.
CGUGUUUAUGUUGUAAUUGCAUAAAAAUCAUUGCCCGAACAUCAGUGGAUACAGAAAAUUAUACUUGCAUGAUACACUAAACCUGGAGAACCACUGUUUAAACAGGAUUAAUAUUGUUGACAACGUGUAGCUGUGACAGUUUAACAAAUAGGAAAGCCUGUGAACACUUUAAAACAAGAGAAUCAUGGACAUAGACUUCUUUAGAUUUACUAAUUAUCAGAAGACUUGUGGAAUGUAUGUUAGUUUUAUACUCUAAAUUUGGUGGAAGUUCAGAAAAAAGACAUGUGAUCGAGACGAUAUUGUGAAUGUGGCAAUCCCGAUAGACUG